Molecule: ribosomal RNA, 253 nt
Filed under: uncultured bacterium
Lineage: Bacteria
Description: partial 16S ribosomal RNA
Rfam family: Bacterial small subunit ribosomal RNA
Source: RNAcentral
UACGGAGGGUGCAAGCGUUAUCCGGAUUCACUGGGUUUAAAGGGUGCGUGGGUGGGCAGGUAAGUCAGUGGUGAAAUCUCCGGGCUUAACCCGGAAACUGCCAUUGAUACUAUUUGUCUUGAAUACCGUGGAGGUCAGCGGAAUAUGUCAUGUAGCGGUGAAAUGCUUAGAUAUGACAUAGAACACCAAUUGCGAAGGCAGCUGGCUACACGAAUAUUGACACUGAUGCACGAAAGCGUGGGGAUCAAACAGG